Molecule: non-coding RNA, 478 nt
Organism: Pelobates cultripes (western spadefoot toad)
Lineage: Eukaryota; Metazoa; Chordata; Amphibia; Anura; Pelobatidae
Source: the annotation of a GenBank genome assembly
GUCCCUGCCAGGGUUCAGCCUCUAAGCCCUGAAGACCCAGCAACAGCACAUCUCUAUGAGUCACUAGCCUGGGUACCUCCUUUAAUGACCAGGGGUCAGACCCACUCUCUCCCUCAGGGGAUGAAAGUGAUCCACUCUAUACAUGCCAGGGUUCAGCCUCUUAUCCCUGAAGACCCAGCAACAUCACAUCUCUAUGAGUUGUUAACCUGGGUACCUCCUUUUGUUACCGGGGGUCAGACCCAAUUGCUACCUCAUUGGAUGAAAACAGUCCAUUACAUACAUACCAGGGUUCAUCCUCUAACCCCUGAAGACCCAGCAACAGCAUAUGUCUAUGAGUUGCUAGCCUGGGUAACCCCUUUAGUGACCCGGGGUCCGACCCAAUUCCCUCCUUCAGAGGAGGAACGCGAUCCAUACAUGAAGCCAUGCCAGGGUUCAACUUCUUAUCCCUGAAGACCCAGCAUCAGCAUAUCUCUAUGAG